Molecule: transfer RNA, 73 nt
Filed under: Cellulophaga phage Calle_1
Lineage: Duplodnaviria; Heunggongvirae; Uroviricota; Caudoviricetes; Pervagoviridae
Description: tRNA-Ile
Source: RNAcentral
GCACAUAAGUAAAUUAGCUUAUAUAAUGGAUUAUAAGCGAAUAAGGUAAUAUUGGAGUAUAGCUCAGCGGUUA